GGAAAGUGGGAUUGAUAUCGUAGUGGGAGCUCUGUCUCCCUUUCUCAGUGAGAAAAGAAUUUAUCUUUUCUCUCUUCGUAGUUCCUUCUUUUGGUUAUUUUGAGGCUAUCCCCUCUUCUUAGGGGUAGGGGUGCCUCUUUCCAUUUUGGGGGGAUGGAUUCUCCUCUCCUCCUAAUUUUGGUUUUAUAUAGUUUUGUAGUGCUGUAGUUGUUGUGGGUUGCAGAUCUUGAGCUUGAUGGUGAGAGAUUUAUGCAGAUCUACUUGGUUUCCAGUUCAAGAACUCUUAGAGGUUUACUAGUUGAAUGUCCACACAAGGGCUGUCGGUACCUCUUGAAGGUCGAUCUAGUCCUUGGACUACAAAAGAAUGAGAAGCCCGUUUUUGCCAUUCCAUAUCCCGGUGUUUAUUCGGCCCCUACAUGGAUUUGGUUCUUCUUUGACGGUUGAUGUCUUUCCUAUUUCAUAUGAGUUCAUGGGUUGAUGUGUUUUGUUUGAGAAAUCCGCUUAUCUCUAGGUUGAAAGAUUUCGCUUUGCUUGUUAUUGGAGCUCUCAGUUGUGCGUUUACAGUAUUUGUCGUCUCUCCUUGGACGAUGGUUAAGAAGGCAACAGUGGAGAUUUUUUUGUUCCAUUGUUUCUGUAAAAUAUUUAGUUUUUUGGGUAACCACUCAGGUACCCUAGGGUUUAGUUUCAGGCUUUUGGCUUUUAAGUCUUGGGCAUGGGAGUUGGUUUUAGUUAGCUGUCUCUUGUUGUAGUUGGGCUUAAUCUUUGCAGUUUCAAUCUUUCAUCUAUAAAAUCAUAUUUCGG
Molecule: unclassified non-coding RNA, 801 nt
Filed under: Hevea brasiliensis (rubber tree)
Lineage: Eukaryota; Viridiplantae; Streptophyta; Magnoliopsida; Malpighiales; Euphorbiaceae
Source: RNAcentral